This 491-nucleotide ribosomal RNA is filed under the name uncultured bacterium. Its description in RNAcentral is "partial 16S ribosomal RNA". It matches the Rfam family "Bacterial small subunit ribosomal RNA", at positions 29 to 506 of the family's 1533-position model. The record is from RNAcentral.
AGUGAACGCUGGCGGUAGGCCUAACACAUGCAAGUCGAACGGCAGCACAGUAAGAGCUUGCUCUUACGGGUGGCGAGUGGCGGACGGGUGAGGAAUACAUCGGAAUCUACUUUUUCGUGGGGGAUAACGUAGGGAAACUUACGCUAAUACCGCAUACGACCUACGGGUGAAAGCAGGGGAUCUUCGGACCUUGCGCGAUUGAAUGAGCCGAUGUCGGAUUAGCUAGUUGGCGGGGUAAAGGCCCACCAAGGCGACGAUCCGUAGCUGGUCUGAGAGGAUGAUCAGCCACACUGGAACUGAGACACGGCCCAGACUCCUACGGGAGGCAGCAGUGGGGAAUAUUGGACAAUGGGCGCAAGCCUGAUCCAGCCAUACCGCGUGGGUGAAGAAGGCCUUCGGGUUGUAAAGCUCUUUUGUUGGGAAAGAAAAGCAGCAGGUUAAUACCCCGCUGUUCUGACGGUACCCAAAGAAUAAGCACCGGCUAACUUCGU